RNAcentral lists this ribosomal RNA (466 nucleotides) under uncultured bacterium. Its description in RNAcentral is "partial 16S ribosomal RNA". It matches the Rfam family "Bacterial small subunit ribosomal RNA", at positions 28 to 507 of the family's 1533-position model. The record is from RNAcentral.
GACGAACGCUGGCGGCGUGCUUAACACAUGCAAGUCGAACGGAAAGGCCCUGCUUGCAGGGUACUCGAGUGGCGAACGGGCGAGUAACACGUGGGUGAUCUGCCCUGCACUUCGGGAUAAGCUUGGGAAACUGGGUCUAAUACCGGAUAGGAGCCAUCUUUAGUGUGGUGGUUGGAAAGUUUUUUCGGUGUAGGAUGAGCUCGCGGCCUAUCAGCUUGUUGGUGGGGUAAUGGCCUACCAAGGCGGCGACGGGUAGCCGGCCUGAGAGGGUGUACGGCCACAUUGGGACUGAGAUACGGCCCAGACUCCGACGGGAGGCAGCAGUGGGGAAUAUUGCACAAUGGGCGCAAGCCUGAUGCAGCGACGCCGCGUGGGGGAUGAAGGCCUUCGGGUUGUAAACUCCUUUCGCUAGGGACGAAGCUUUUUUGUGACGGUACCUAGAUAAGAAGCACCGGCUAACUACGUG